CUGAUUCUCCGUCCUGUCAGUUCGCAACGAACGUGCCGAUAGCGCGGUCGUCGGUCGAGUGCGCUCCGCUCUCGUAGUUUUUCCUUCGUAGUAAUCAUUACGUUUAUUUUUACGUAGCCACAGUAGUGCGUUAUUACAUUACAUUAGCUCCCGCUGUUGUUGUUUUAUCAGUGUAGCCACCCGAGGUUAUUCAAUUCAAAAUUUUUCCUGCUAGAUUACAGCCGCUGGCGCUGCAUUUAUCUCUGGUAGAUUUUUAUUUAUCCGGACAUAAUCUAUUGGAAGCGGAUCAGUAGAAUUAAAUAAAGCGUGCAAUAAGUAAACAGAAGUGAUGCAAGUGAUGAUGACCGCAGAGAAGCAGAUCACUACCAGCGCGGAGUAAAAAUAAAAAUUUUGGAAAAAUUCUGGAUUUGAAUUUAAAAAAUUAUGAUGAAUAAAUGCAUGGAGAUGCACACGGCCGGUCUGAAUGGGGCGCUUAAUGGCAGUGGCGGCGGCGGCGGUGUUCGAGAUGAGCCGGAAGUGGAAGCCGACCCGGGGCAACUGCUCGAGGAAUGGCUCGGUGAACUGAGCAUCCUCACCGAGGUUAUGUAAAGUAGCGUUUGAGUUGACCCGCACGUGAAUAAUGUAAAAGCAGACAACCAAACAUACACGCAGACACGAACAAUGCACACACGAGGCGAAUGAAGC
This is a long non-coding RNA of Dalotia coriaria, 684 nucleotides long. RefSeq lists it as uncharacterized. The record is from RefSeq and is a predicted model, not a curated record. Lineage: Eukaryota; Metazoa; Arthropoda; Insecta; Coleoptera; Staphylinidae. The transcript has 3 exons.